GACGAACGCUGGCGGCGUGCUUAACACAUGCAAGUCGAACGGAAAGGCCCUGCUUUUGUGGGGUGCUCGAGUGGCGAACGGGUGAGUAACACGUGAGUAACCUGCCCUUGACUUUGGGAUAACUUCAGGAAACUGGGGCUAAUACCGGAUAGGAGCUCCUGCUGCAUGGUGGGGGUUGGAAAGUUUCGGCGGUUGGGGAUGGACUCGCGGCUUAUCAGCUUGUUGGUGGGGUAGUGGCUUACCAAGGCUUUGACGGGUAGCCGGCCUGAGAGGGUGACCGGCCACAUUGGGACUGAGAUACGGCCCAGACUCCUACGGGAGGCAGCAGUGGGGAAUAUUGCACAAUGGGCGGAAGCCUGAUGCAGCAACGCCGCGUGCGGGAUGACGGCCUUCGGGUUGUAAACCGCUUUCGCCUGUGACGAAGCGUGAGUGACGGUAAUGGGUAAAGAAGCACCGGCUAACUACGUGCCAGCAGCCGCGGUGAUACGUAGGGUGCGAGCGUUGUCCGGAUUUAUUGGGCGUAAAGGGCUCGUAGGUGGUUGAUCGCGUCGGAAGUGUAAUCUUGGGGCUUAACCCUGAGCGUGCUUUCGAUACGGGUUGACUUGAGGAAGGUAGGGGAGAAUGGAAUUCCUGGUGGAGCGGUGGAAUGCGCAGAUAUCAGGAGGAACACCAGUGGCGAAGGCGGUUCUCUGGGCCUUUCCUGACGCUGAGGAGCGAAAGCGUGGGGAGCGAACAGGCUUAGAUACCCUGGUAGUCCACGCUGUAAACGGUGGGUACUAGGUGUGGGGUCCAUUCCACGGGUCCCGUGCCGUAGCUAACGCUUUAAGUACCCCGCCUGGGGAGUACGGCCGCAAGGCUAAAACUCAAAGGAAUUGACGGGGCCCCGCACAAGCGGCGGAGCAUGCGGAUUAAUUCGAUGCAACGCGUAGAACCUUACCUGGGUUUGACAUGGAUCGGGAGUGCUCAGAGAUGGGUGUGCCUCUUUUGGGGUCGGUUCACAGGUGGUGCAUGGCUGUCGUCAGCUCGUGUCGUGAGAUGUUGGGUUAAGUCCCGCAACGAGCGCAACCCUUGUUCACUGUUGCCAGCACGUUAUGGUGGGGACUCAGUGGAGACCGCCGGGGUCAACUCGGAGGAAGGUGGGGAUGACGUCAAGUCAUCAUGCCCCUUAUGUCCAGGGCUUCACGCAUGCUACAAUGGCUGGUACAGAGAGUGGCGAGCCUGUGAGGGUGAGCGAAUCUCGGAAAGCCGGUCUCAGUUCGGAUUGGGGUCUGCAACUCGACCUCAUGAAGUCGGAGUCGCUAGUAAUCGCAGAUCAGCAACGCUGCGGUGAAUACGUUCCCGGGGCUUGUACACACCGCCCGUCAAGUCAUGAAAGUUGGUAACACCCGAAGCCGGUGGCCUAACCGUUGUGGGGGAGCCGUCGAAGGUGGGACUGGUGAUUAGGACUAAGUCGUAACAAGGUAGCCGUACCGGAAGG
This 1477-nucleotide ribosomal RNA is filed under the name uncultured bacterium. Its description in RNAcentral is "16S ribosomal RNA". It matches the Rfam family "Bacterial small subunit ribosomal RNA". The record is from RNAcentral.